CACUGUUGACAAUGUCAAAGUUGGCAGGAGAUACAGCAAGUAUAAUGGAAUUGGGACGGCUGAUGUAUUCCAUAAUAAGAGAGCGUGUUUGAGCCUCAAUAUCAGUAGGCUGAUCUCCAACGGGAAUUUUUGUAAGCCCAGGCAAAUCAAUUAAAGUUAAGUUCAAAACGCGAGUAGAAUAAAUUUUUAGAUUGAUUGGCAAUUUGUUAAUUCCUUUGU
Non-coding RNA from Schizosaccharomyces pombe (fission yeast), 219 nucleotides. Lineage: Eukaryota; Fungi; Ascomycota; Schizosaccharomycetes; Schizosaccharomycetales; Schizosaccharomycetaceae. The record is from the annotation of a GenBank genome assembly.